CGUGUAGGCGGAGAUGCAAGUUGGGAGUGAAAUACCGGGGCUCAACCCCGGAACUGCUUUCAAAACUGUAUCCCUUGAGUGUCGGAGAGGCAAGCGGAAUUCCUAGUGUAGCGGUGAAAUGCGUAGAUAUUAGGAGGAACACCAGUGGCGAAGGCGGCUUGCUGGACGAUAACUGACGCUGAGGCGCGAAAGCGUGGGGAGCAAACA
RNAcentral lists this ribosomal RNA (207 nucleotides) under uncultured bacterium. RNAcentral describes it as "partial 16S ribosomal RNA". It matches the Rfam family "Bacterial small subunit ribosomal RNA", at positions 568 to 774 of the family's 1533-position model. The record is from RNAcentral.